CCCGGCGUACUGGGGCGGUUCAGUCGCCUCAGCCGCGGUGUGAGGGAGCGGGAGUCUUCCUUAGCUUCUCCGCCAUGGGUGUCGCUUCGUAGCCGGGCUGCUCCGGGAAAGGCCUCGUACAGCAAGCUCCGAAGCAGACGUUUACCAGUUUUGCACAACUUUGUCAUGGACCAACUGGCCUUGUGGCUCAGUGGCAUCUGGAGGCAAGAGGGCCAAGUAGACAGGGGUCUCAGCCCCCUCCUCCACAGUCCUGAUGCUGUCUUUCCCAUCCAUGUCUGUCUUCACUGGUCCUGGGCAGCACGCAUUCACCAGAAUCCUGUCAGCUUUCCUCUUCUCAUCCAGACGCCUGGCCAGGAUCCUCGAUAAGACCGUGACCCCCAACUUGGACACCCCAUAAGCUUUGUUCUCAGAAACUUGGCGGCUACAAGGAAUUAAAUGUGAAUGGGAAAGGAAGAAAGAAAAACACAGAUCAUAGAAGCUGUGCCUUCGAGGAAAUAAAUCCUCUUAAGGGGAGGAGGUGUCCUCUUUGAUCUGAGGGCACACCUCUGGGAGAGAGGCCAGAGGCUGACAGUCAGCCUCGUCAGCCAGAUGCGUCAUCAGCCCUGGGAAGGGCUGCACCCACACCACCCUCCACUGAGGUCCAGGUGGCCCCACCGGUCCCGAAACACCUGCUGCCUUACUCUAGAAAGAGUAGGCAAGUUGCGCCCUCUAGUGGCUUAGUAGUUGCUUGUCCUAUUGACUCAGAACCUUGAACAAAUAAGCAAGUCAAAUACAGAUAGAUGGUCCCUGCCCUCUGAUGGUUCCACUUAGGACUUACUGACUUCACUGAUGGAUGAGGAAGCGAUAUGCAUUCUGCAGAAUCUGUACUUGGAGGCCCCAUACAACCAUUCUGCAUUUCACUUUCAGUACAGAUUCAAUAAAUUACAUAAGAUACUCAACAUUUUAUGAUAAAAUAGGCUUUGUGUUAGAUGACUUUGCCAGACUAUAGGCUAAUGUAAGCGUUCAAAGCACCUUGAAGCUAGACGAGGCUGACCUAUGGUGUUUGGUAGGUCAGAUGCGUUAAAUGCAUUUUUUUUUUUUUUUGAGACAAGGACUUGCUCUGUCGCCCAGGCUAGAGUACAGUGGCACAAUCAUAGCUCACUGCAGCCUCAACCUCCUGGGCCCAAGCGAUCCUCCCACCUCAGUCUCUCGAGAAGCUGGAACAUGCCACUAUGCCCAGCUAAUUUUUAAUUUUCAUUUUUUGUGUAGAGCUGGGGUCUCCAUAUGUUGCUCAGGAUUAAGUCCAUUCUUAUGAUAUUUUCUUUUCUUUCUUUCUUUCUUUUUUUUUUUUUUUUUUUGAGAUGGAGUGUGGCUCUGUCGCCCAGGCUGGAGUGCAGUGGCGCGAUCUGGGCUCACUGCAAGUUCCGCCUCCCGGGUUCAUGCCAUUCUCCUGCCUCAGCCUCCCGACUAGCUGGGACUACAGGUGCCCACCACCAUGCCUGGCUAAUUUUUUUGUAUUUUUAGUAGAGAUGGGGUUUCACCGUGUUAGCCAGGAUGGUCUCGAUCUCCUGACCUCGUGGUCUGCCUGCCUUGGCCUCCCAAAGUGCUAGGAUUACAGGUGUGAGCCACUGUGCCCGGCCACAAAAACUUCUUAACCUAAAAAGGUGAAUGGUGAGAAUUGCACUUGUACUCUUGUACUUGCUCAGUUUUUUAGUGGGAUGGGAUCAGAGAAAGCCUGCAGGGAGAACUGCAGGUGCUCUGGAAGGGGAUGGAGUUUUAAAGGUGUCUUAAUACCUUGCAGCUCUCAAGUUCCCAUUCAAAAAUUUAUCGGGAGAAAACUUCCCAACACUGGGUAAAAGACAUCCCUAUAAUGGCUGCGUCCCUAUAUAGCCACAAAAAAGAUAAAAGCUUUCUGACCAAACCUGGAGAGAGCCCCAGACAUAAGGAGUAAAAAAAGCAAAGUGGCAAACAUUGUAUGAAAUGUUACCUUCUGUGUAAAAAGGAGAGUUUUUAAAAUGUGCGUUUAUAUUGGCUCAGAUUUGCAUUUAGAAACUCCAUCCCCUUCAAAGCACCUGCAGUUCUCCCUGCAGGCUUUCUAUGAUCUCAUCCCACUCAGAAACUGACAGAGUACAAGUGCAACUCUCACCAUUCACCUUCUUAGGUUAAGAACUUUUUGCGUCUGAGUGCGGUGGCUCAAGCCUGUAAUCCUAGCAUUUUGGGAGGCCAAGGCGGGUGGAUCACCUGAGGUCAGGAAUUCGAGAUCAAGCUGGCCAACAUGGUGAAACCCUGUCUCUACUAGAAAUACAAAAAAAUUAGCUGGGCGUGGUGGUGCUCGCCUGUAAACCCAGCUACUUGAGAGGCUGGGGCGGAGAAUCUCUCGUACCUGAGAGGCGGAGGUUGCAGCGAGCUGAGCUCAUGCCACUGCACUCCAGUCUGGGCGACGGAGGGAGACUCUGUCUCAGAAAAAAAAAAAAAAAAAAAAAAGGUUUUGCAUCCAGAGAUAAUUUUGUUUGUUUGUUUAAAGUGAUGAGGGUCUUGCCAUAUUUUUCAGCCUGGUCUUAAACUCGUGGGCUCAAGUGAUCCUCCUGCCUCAACCUCCCAAAGUGCUGAGAUUACAGGCAUGAGCCACCACACCCGGCCAAUAAUCCAUAUUCGAAAUGUUAAAUUAAGAAAAGCACACUUCUGGCCAGGCACGGUGGCUCACGCCUGUAAUCCCAGCACUCUGGGAGGCUGAGGUGGGCGGGUCACCUGAGGUCAGGAGUUUGAGACCAGACUGACCAACAUGGAGAAACCCCGUCUCUAAUAAACUACAAAAUUAGCUGGGCAUGGUGGCACAUGCCUGUAAUCCCAGCUACUCGGGAGGCUGAGGAGGGGUAUCACUUGAACCUGGGAGGUGGUGGUUGUGGUGAGCCGAGGUCACGCCAUUGCACUCCAGCCU
This 2917-nucleotide long non-coding RNA is filed under the name Homo sapiens (human). RNAcentral describes it as "HSALNT0404000". The record is from RNAcentral. Lineage: Eukaryota; Metazoa; Chordata; Mammalia; Primates; Hominidae.